Molecule: ribosomal RNA, 376 nt
Filed under: uncultured organism
Description: partial 16S ribosomal RNA
Rfam family: Bacterial small subunit ribosomal RNA
Source: RNAcentral
GUAGGUGGCAAGCGUUGUCCGGAAUUAUUGGGCGUAAAGCGCGCGCAGGCGGUUCUUUAAGUCUGAUGUGAAAGCCCACGGCUCAACCGUGGAGGGUCAUUGGAAACUGAAGAACUUGAGUACAGAAGAGGAAAGCGGAAUUCCACGUGUAGCGGUGAAAUGCGUAGAGAUGUGGAGGAACACCAGUGGCGAAGGCGGCUUUCUGGUCUGUAACUGACGCUGAGGCGCGAAAGCGUGGGGAGCAAACAGGGAUUAGAUACCCUGGUAGUCCACGCCGUAAACGAUGAGUGCUAAGUGUUAGGGGGGUUUUCCGGCCCCCUUAGUGCUGCAGCUAACGCAUUAAGCACUCCGCCUGGGGAGUACGGCCGCAAGGCUG